This 779-nucleotide ribosomal RNA is filed under the name uncultured Thermoprotei archaeon. RNAcentral's name for it is "bacterial SSU rRNA". It matches the Rfam family "Archaeal small subunit ribosomal RNA", at positions 510 to 1290 of the family's 1478-position model. Lineage: Archaea; Thermoproteati; Thermoproteota; Thermoprotei. The record is from RNAcentral.
CUAAAGCGCCCGUAGCCGGCCCAGCAAGCCCUUACUGAAAUCCUUGGGCUUAACCCGAGGAUAGGUAAGGGGACUGCUGGGCUAGGGGGCGGGAGAGGCCGAGGGUACUCCCGGGGUAGGGGCGAAAUCCUAUAAUCCCGGGAAGACCACCAGUGGCGAAGGCGCUCGGCUGGAACGCGCCCGACGGUGAGGGGCGAAAGCCGGGGGAGCGAACCGGAUUAGAUACCCGGGUAGUCCCGGCUGUAAACGAUGCGGGCUANGUGUUGGGUGGGCUUUGAGCCCACCCAGUGCCGCAGGGAAGCCGUGAAGCCCGCCGCCUGGGGAGUACGGCCGCAAGGCUGAAACUUAAAGGAAUUGGCGGGGGAGCACCACAAGGGGUGGAGCCUGCGGUUUAAUUGGAGUCAGCGCCGGGAAUCUUACCGAGGGCGACAGCAGGAUGAAGGCCAGGCUAACGACCUUGCCAGACACGCUGAGAGGAGGUGCAUGNCCGUCGCCAGCUCGUGCCGUGAGGCGUCCGGUUAAGUCCGGCAACGAGCGAGAUCCCCACCCCCAGUUGCGAUCCCGAUCCCUGGAUCGGGAGCACACUGGGGGGACUGCCGCCGAUAAGGCGGAGGAAGGAGGGGGCCACGGCAGGUCAGCAUGCCCCGAAUCCCUCGGGCUACACGCGGGCUACAAUGGUGGGGACAGCGGGUGCCGACCCCGAAAGGAGAAGGCAAUCCCUGAAACCCCGCCGUGGUUGGGAUCGAGGGCUGUAACUCGCCCUCGUGAACGUGGAUCCC